RNAcentral lists this ribosomal RNA (404 nucleotides) under Actinomycetes bacterium. RNAcentral's name for it is "Actinobacteria bacterium partial 16S ribosomal RNA". It matches the Rfam family "Bacterial small subunit ribosomal RNA", at positions 355 to 776 of the family's 1533-position model. The record is from RNAcentral. Lineage: Bacteria; Bacillati; Actinomycetota; Actinomycetes.
UGGGGAAUAUUGGACAAUGGGCGCAAGCCUGAUCCAGCCAUGCCGCGUGAGUGAUGAAGGCCCUAGGGUUGUAAAGCUCUUUCACCGGUGAAGAUAAUGACGGUAACCGGAGAAGAAGCCCCGGCUAACUUCGUGCCAGCAGCCGCGGUAAUACGAAGGGGGCUAGCGUUGUUCGGAUUUACUGGGCGUAAAGCGCACGUAGGCGGACUUUUAAGUCAGGGGUGAAAUCCCGGGGCUCAACCCCGGAACUGCCUUUGAUACUGGAAGUCUUGAGUAUGGUAGAGGUGAGUGGAAUUCCGAGUGUAGAGGUGAAAUUCGUAGAUAUUCGGAAGAACACCAGUGGCGAAGGCGGCUAACUGGACCAUUACUGACGCUGAGGUGCGAAAGCGUGGGGAGCAAACAGG